ACUUAAAUUGAAGAGUUUGAUCAUGGCUCAGAUUGAACGCUGGCGGCAGGCCUAACACAUGCAAGUCGAGCGGUAGCACAGAGAGCUUGCUCUCGGGUGACGAGCGGCGGACGGGUGAGUAAUGUCUGGGAAACUGCCUGAUGGAGGGGGAUAACUACUGGAAACGGUAGCUAAUACCGCAUAAUGUCGCAAGACCAAAGUGGGGGACCUUCGGGCCUCAUGCCAUCAGAUGUGCCCAGAUGGGAUUAGCUAGUAGGUGGGGUAACGGCUCACCUAGGCGACGAUCCCUAGCUGGUCUGAGAGGAUGACCAGCCACACUGGAACUGAGACACGGUCCAGACU
RNAcentral lists this ribosomal RNA (342 nucleotides) under Klebsiella pneumoniae. RNAcentral's name for it is "bacterial SSU rRNA". It matches the Rfam family "Bacterial small subunit ribosomal RNA", at positions 1 to 337 of the family's 1533-position model. The record is from RNAcentral. Lineage: Bacteria; Pseudomonadati; Pseudomonadota; Gammaproteobacteria; Enterobacterales; Enterobacteriaceae.